UCCCUGAUGAUCUAGUGGUCAGGAUUCGGUGUUCUCACCGCUGCGGCCCAGGUUCGAUUACCGUUCAGGGAA
RNAcentral lists this transfer RNA (72 nucleotides) under Danionella translucida. It matches the Rfam family "tRNA". From Rfam's summary of the family: Transfer RNA (tRNA) molecules are approximately 80 nucleotides in length. Their secondary structure includes four short double-helical elements and three loops (D, anti-codon, and T loops). RNAcentral also lists the same sequence under 1 other name. The record is from Rfam by way of RNAcentral. Lineage: Eukaryota; Metazoa; Chordata; Actinopteri; Cypriniformes; Danionidae.